RNAcentral lists this ribosomal RNA (846 nucleotides) under uncultured Bacillota bacterium. RNAcentral's name for it is "bacterial SSU rRNA". It matches the Rfam family "Bacterial small subunit ribosomal RNA", at positions 1 to 799 of the family's 1533-position model. The record is from RNAcentral. Lineage: Bacteria; Bacillati; Bacillota.
AGGGAGUUUGAUCCUGGCUCAGGAUUAGAUACCCUGGUAGUCCAGAAUUUGGCUUAGAGUUUGAUCCUGGCUCAGGACGAACGCUGGCGGCGUGCCUAACACAUGCAAGUCGAACGGAGCUGCUAUGGAAGACCUUCGGGUCGGAAGUUUCAGCUUAGUGGCGAACGGGUGAGUAACGCGUGAGCAACCUGCCUUUCAGAGGGGGACAACGGUUGGAAACGACCGCUAAUACCGCAUGAAGCAAUUUGACCGCAUGAUCGAAUUGCCAAAGAUUUAUCGCUGAAAGAUGGGCUCGCGUCUGAUUAGAUAGUUGGUGGGGUAACGGCCUACCAAGUCGACGAUCAGUAGCCGGACUGAGAGGUUGAACGGCCACAUUGGGACUGAGAUACGGCCCAGACUCCUACGGGAGGCAGCAGUGGGGAAUAUUGGGCAAUGGGGGAAACCCUGACCCAGCAACGCCGCGUGAAGGAAGAAGGCUUUCGGGUUGUAAACUUCUUUUACCAGGGACGAAGGACGUGACGGUACCUGGAGAAAAAGCCACGGCUAACUACGUGCCAGCAGCCGCGGUAAUACGUAGGUGGCAAGCGUUGUCCGGAUUUACUGGGUGUAAAGGGCGUGUAGGCGGAGCAGCAAGUCAGAAGUGAAAUCUCCGGGCUUAACCCGGAAACUGCUUUUGAAACUGUUGCCCUUGAGUAUCGGAGAGGCAGGCGGAAUUCCUAGUGUAGCGGUGAAAUGCGUAGAUAUUAGGAGGAACACCAGUGGCGAAGGCGGCCUGCUGGACGACAACUGACGCUGAGGCGCGAAAGCGUGGGGAGCAAACAGGAUUAGAUACCCUGGUAGUCCCCU